This 113-nucleotide microRNA precursor is filed under the name Pteropus vampyrus (large flying fox). Its description in RNAcentral is "miRNA (ENSPVAG00000026972.1)". Lineage: Eukaryota; Metazoa; Chordata; Mammalia; Chiroptera; Pteropodidae. The record is from RNAcentral.
GUAUCAUUAGAGACCUGGGCUUGGGUGGUAGGAGGAAUGGAUACUGGUCUUUCAAUUCUGAAUUUGACUCCAGCCCCACAGCCUCAGCCACCCCAGUGAAUUACCAUGGGAAC